UUGGUCCCUCCUAUCUUGAUGAAUGCCUUACAUGUGAACCAAAUCCUUAGAAAAUAACCUCAAAUAUCAAAGAAAAAAUGCUUUCAAUUGAGCCAGUUAUGUCUGUGCUAAUGAAAUUGAGGUGGGAGGAAGAACUGGGUGUGACUAUCACUGAUUUGAAAUGGGAUGAAUGAUUAAAGCCUACAGGCAAUCUUGCCUGCUGGUGAUGAACAUGCCAGCUUGUGAUGAAGUGCCUGCCAGUGAUUGGUUAAGUUUAUCCAGGUGAAUGUAGUAUUUGGAUUGCAGUGUAGAGGAGCCACCAACCUGCGAUUGGCUGGCAACCGGUUCAGGGGGUUCCCCCGCCUACUGCCCGAUGACUGCUAGGAUAGGCUCCAGCACGCCCGCAACCCCCGUGGGGACAAGCGGUAAGGAAAAUGGAUGGAUAGAUGGAGGAGCCACCAACAUCAUGGAUGUGCACCAUAAAGGGGGCGGCCAUUUUGCCUCAUGCUGUCGACUGAAAAUGACAUCACAGUUGCAUGGACUGACUUGAGAAUGGAGGUCACAAUGCAGAAAGGUGUGAACAGGCUUUCCAUCCAAGAGGACGUGACCCUCCUGAGGAGCAUAGAAGUUUUCCAAUAGGUUGACACAGGAGCUCUUUCCACUGCCAGAAGGUCCCACCAGGGCAGUCACCUCGCCCGGCUUUAGAGUGAAUGACACUCCCUGCAUCAGACCAAUUAUUAUCAAAACAACUUGAGUUAUUACGCUGUAGUAUACACAAUGUGCUAUAUACAGUGCAUAUAGUCAUAGAAAUUACCUUAAGGAUUUCGAUCUCUGGCCGAGUAGGGUAGGCAAAUUUGAUAUCUUGAAAAUCCACCAGACCAGUGAAUGUCUCCAACGUCUCUGUGCCAUCUGCUGGGUGAUCGGGUUUUCUGUCCAAGUAGUCGAAAACCUUUUCAGCGGCCCCUACGCCCUGCAUGAGGCCCGAGUAAACUGACGCAAUGUUCUGCAAGAUGACAGAUAGCAACAGAUUAUGAACCUUGUCAUUGAUUAACUGCAGAAUAGGAGAAAAAUGAAUUUAGAUUAAUUACCGACAAACAUUCCCCCAUUUCAAGCGUGUAUAUGAAAAAUGAUAACAAUUGGCUGCUUUCCAUCUGACCAGUAACCACAAGGUGGCCACCAUAGGCGAGGAUGGUCACCUCUAGAGUGAGCUCUGAGAUCUACAAAACAGAAAGACUUGAUAAAUACCCACUCUGUCAUCAUUACCAAGGAAAUCAACGAAAUCUAAUACCUACACAGCUGGACCACAUAUAGCAAGCAUAUGCCAGGGCUUGUUUCUUGUUGAGAUGGUACAUGACAACGAGCUUGCUGUAGUAGGAGUCAGCCUCUCGAUGCUCGUUAGCGAAGCUUCGCACUGUCUUCAUGGCGGAAAUGGUUUCUUCUGCAACUUUGUUAGCCUUUGCAAGUGUUGUCUGUACCUCUUUAGUUAGGCUCUGGAAAGAAUACAGCGUAAUUUGAUCCAAAUAAAAUAAAAUAAAAUAUAUAUAAUAUUAAUUAAAAAACUGUUAGAUUACCUUGUAGUAAUUCCCAUAAUACUCUGAAAGAACGGCAAUAAAAGGAAGUCCCAUCAUGUUCACUAAUGUUAGCUUCCAGGACAUCCCAAACAUAAAAAUGAGAAAGCCAACAGCUUUGAUGGCGCUCCUCAAGAACACAUUAAUGUUCUGGGAGAUGAGGUCACUCACUUGGGUGGUGUCAGCUGACAGACGUGAAGUGAUAUCACCUGAAAAGUGAUAAA
Molecule: long non-coding RNA, 1771 nt
Organism: Syngnathus typhle (broad-nosed pipefish)
Lineage: Eukaryota; Metazoa; Chordata; Actinopteri; Syngnathiformes; Syngnathidae
Exons: 2
Source: RefSeq, a predicted model, not a curated record